GAUGAAGAACGUAGCGAAAUGCGAUAAGUAAUGUGAAUUGCAGAAUUCCGUGAAUCAUCGAAUCUUUGAACGCACAUUGCGCCCUCUGGUAUUCCGGGGGGCAUGCCUGUCCGAGCGUCAUUUGCAACCCUCAAGCCCGGCUUGUGGGAUGGGUGCCGUCCCCUACGGGACGCGCCCCGAAGGCAAUGGCGGCGUCGCGGUUAUCCGAUCAGCCAAAGUGUAUGGGGCUUUGUCACUCACUUUACGGCCCGGACCGGCGCCAGUCCGAAUCAAUCUUUUUUCUAAAGUUGACCUCGGAUCAGGUAGGGAUACCCGCUGAACUUAAGCAUAUCAAUAAGCGGAGGA
RNAcentral lists this unclassified non-coding RNA (345 nucleotides) under soil metagenome. RNAcentral describes it as "partial contains 5.8S ribosomal RNA, internal transcribed spacer 2, and large subunit ribosomal RNA". The stretch from base 1 to 120 matches the Rfam family "5.8S ribosomal RNA", at positions 35 to 154 of the family's 154-position model. The record is from RNAcentral.